Molecule: ribosomal RNA, 474 nt
Filed under: uncultured bacterium
Lineage: Bacteria
Description: bacterial SSU rRNA
Rfam family: Bacterial small subunit ribosomal RNA
Source: RNAcentral
ACUCCUACGGGAGGCAGCAGUGGGGAAUAUUGCACAAUGGGGGGAAACCCUGAUGCAGCCAUGCCGCGUGUGUGAAGAAGGCCUUCGGGUUGUAAAGCACUUUCAGUAGGGAGGAAGGUAGUGUAGUUAACACCUGCAUUAUUUGACGUUACCUACAGAAGAAGCACCGGCUAACUCCGUGCCAGCAGCCGCGGUAAUACGGAGGGUGCGAGCGUUAAUCGGAAUUACUGGGCGUAAAGCGCAUGCAGGCGGCCUGUUAAGUCAGAUGUGAAAGCCCGGGGCUUAACCUCGGAAUUGCAUUUGAAACUGGCAGGCUAGAGUCUUGUAGAGGGGGUUAGAAUUUCAGGUGUAGCGGUGAAAUGCGUAGAGAUCUGAAGGAAUACCGAGUGGCGAAGGCGGCCCCUGGACAAAGACUGACGCUCAGAUGCGAAAGCGUGGGAGCAAACAGGAUUAGAUACCCCUGGUAGCACAGAG